CCCAGAUGGAAAACAGCCGCACUUAAGUGUUCUCUACUGAAGCUGGAUCUUGAGGAAACUGUUAAUAGGUUGUUCACAUUCUUCUCUUCACAGUCAGGUAAUGAAGCUACUGUUGCUUGUCCAGGCCACACUUUCAGAAGUGUUGUUCUAGCCUUCCUGUCUGGAAAUGCAGGAACAAAGAGUGGAGCAG
Grammomys surdaster is the source of this 190-nucleotide long non-coding RNA. RefSeq lists it as uncharacterized. NCBI's taxonomy places the organism in Eukaryota, Metazoa, Chordata, Mammalia, Rodentia, Muridae. The transcript is spliced from 3 exons. The record is from RefSeq and is a predicted model, not a curated record.